Long non-coding RNA from Thamnophis elegans (Western terrestrial garter snake), 2871 nucleotides. RefSeq lists it as uncharacterized. Lineage: Eukaryota; Metazoa; Chordata; Lepidosauria; Squamata; Natricidae. The record is from RefSeq and is a predicted model, not a curated record. The transcript is spliced from 2 exons.
CGGAAGUUAUACAACACCGGCCGGGGGUGCAAUCGAUGGAAGCUACUUUCCGAGUCUCCCAUUCGCCCGCUUGAGAAGAUCGGGAUCUGAGCGGGCAUCCCUACCUGGAUGGCGCUGGCCUCGCGGGGUGUUGGGAUGAGUAAUUCUUGCUCGCUCUUCAUAUUUGCAUCGGGCUAAGGGGCUGCUCUGCAGGUUCCUACCGGCUAGGCGUUUCCAUGGCGAUCGGGGCUUGCAGUUGGGCGAUCGGGGCAUUCGGAUGCAAUCGGCGCAGCAGUGUCGCCUUGGUCCAAAGAACCGUUCCAACAUCAGGCAGUACCGAGCACAGAAACGGUGCUGUUUAAAAUUAGCCUAAGGUACCCGAGGUGGUGGACCAUUAAGGGUAGGAGAAAACCAGACAUCGAUAGGCUUGCUUUCUGAGCAAAGACUUGUUUAUUAAAGCAGGUCAUGCAGAAUCUUCAAGUUUUAGGUGCCCUCCAUAGCAGACUUCCAAGUUUUCACCAAACUGUCAUUUUUAAUAUAAUACAUAGGGUACUGUUGAGUUGACAGGGGGAAAACUGUUUUAAAUGUGUAUAAAAAGCAAGAAGAGUUUCAAUUUGCAGAUCUUUUGUCCAGUGGCAGCUGCAUAUUUGCAGUGAGCCUCGAUCAAGCAUAGCUACUCCUAAAUAUUUGAACCAGUUUGCCUGUUCUUUCUUGUGAUCAGUUAUAUUCUGUGGGUGAGCCUCAGCUUCUUGAAUAAGGGCAGGACUCCUACACAUCCUUAUCUAGGACUUAACCCAGUCAUCUGCUAAAGUGACAUAUGCAGUUUCCUUUGCUCGGAUCUGAACUCCAAAAGAAAGAAAUCUAUUUCCUCUAAAUAGUCUGCAACAGAAAUGGAAGAACUAUCUUCAAUAAUUUAGCCACAGCAAUGGCCUGGUGAUCUGUAUCGACUGUGCUCAACACAGCCUCCAACAGGUAGAAGUUCCCUGCUUCAGCACCUCUCUCGUGUCAUGCAAGAAUUGCAAGCACCAAUCACUUUCUUAUACAUGGCGGAGUCUCUGAAUGACUGAGAUCAUCUUCCUUCAAAAUCAGUAAUCUAAUACUGGACAAUUCAACACACUUUGGCUGCUUCCAAUUAAUGGAGAUUCUGUGUAGGAUCCCCAUUGUGGGGAUGCAAAUACAAAUGCUUUGCUUGCUCACCCACCCGUCAACUCCAGGUUUGUGGCCCAGUUCCUAACAAGCCAGACUGGGUUGGGGACCAUUGGACUGUUGCAUAUCCAUGUUUCUUUUCCUCUCAUGUUCAUUGCACAAACAAUGGAAUGGGGAUAUGAGCCCAAUGGUGUCCCUUUGGGAGAAAUUAAAAAACCCUGCAUCUACUGCAGUCCACUAGUCCAGCAAUGGACCAAUAAAAUAUCAAGGGAUUUUUUUUUAAGUGAUCAUUUUACCAGUAAUACAGCAAUGUUUUACUAUAAAACUUUAUUUUUAUAACUGUAGAUGACUCUUCUUUGGAAACUUUCUAUUUGGCAAUAUGUAAUUAAAAGCAUACACCACCGAUAUAACUUUUGUUUAUAGAAGGGGGAACUACCAGUAGCAGAACAUUUUUUAUAGUCAAAUAAAAUAAUAUAAUGUAGACUAACAAAUGGUUCAAUACUGAGCAGGAAAUAACUCAAAGAUGGAUUGAUAUAUUUAUGGAUAAAUGUAUAGGGAGUGGCUGUAGUGUCAUUAAAGGCUUUUGUUUACAGACAAUGUUGUAUUGUUUACCAACAACCCAAAUUAUUUGCUAAAAUGUAUGUUUGACUAGGGCUCCAGAACUCACCUGGCAUGUUCCUUUACUACAUCAUGUUCCUUGUGAUGAACCCCAUCACCUUUAUGGUAUAACUGAAAUUCUGUUUGAAUCUGCACACUAAAAUAAAUAGCCAAUUAAAUAAAAGCUCUUUCUUCAGAUUGAAUAAAUAUUACUAAUGUAAUGGGGUUUUUAUCUAACCCUCCUAAAAAAAUCCAAUAAUGUUGAGAAAGAAUAUUAAAAUUAUUUUUUAAUCUCAAAGAAAAUAAAUACAUCUAUAUAAAAACACAUAGAGGAAAAAGACAUGGAUAGUUAUGUGAUCAUAAAUGGAAGUAUACAGUAGUCUCUAAUUUGAUAAUAUGUGAUAACCUGUGACUACAUUCUCAUUAUGCCUGGGCAUUUUAGGCCUAUGUCUACUCUACAUUAAGGCGAUCGGAGUUGUAAAGAAAAACAUUUAGGAAGGCUAGUUUAAAAUUCUCCAUAUUUUCCAAUUUAAGUACUGUAUAGAUUGAUUAAGAAACCUCUAAGAGUUUCUCAAACUACUGUAAUUUCAGUUCUCAUACAUAUGAUUUCCAUUUAACUCUAUAAAUCCAAGUUCAUCUUUCUGAAAGUAAACAUUCUCAAAUCCAAUAAAAUCUAUUUAUUGGACAUAAAGGAUAUUCCCCAAGUCAAGCAGAGAACCCAGUUCUAUUUGCCUAUACUCCACAAAAUCCAAGAAUCCUUUCAUCCUUUAAUGAAAGAGCCUUUCAUUAAAAUAACAGAAGUACUAACCCAGUCUUGCAAAUGCCACACUAUGUCCUAAUUACAACAGGCCAAAACCUUUCAAGAAUUGGGGCUACAACUGUACAAAUAUUAAUUAUAGGCCAACUGAAUCUAUCAAAAGUUAGUAUGUUAUGCUAAAAUAUUGUGUUGAGUAAUUGUAUAUAUUGUAUUAUAUAUUGUAUACAGAUAUUUAGCUUAAUGUUUAGUCAUUAUAUUUCUAUGUGAAUUCUUUAAAAAAAUAAACUUUAGGAAAGAAUGUCUAAAAGUGUGUGGCGUGGCCCUCAAUUUAAACUCAUUCAUCAAUGAUUCUAUGUAAGCUUGAAUCAAAUAUUGCUUUAAUCAACAAACCA